RNAcentral lists this ribosomal RNA (210 nucleotides) under uncultured bacterium. RNAcentral describes it as "partial 16S ribosomal RNA". The record is from RNAcentral.
AGGGGCUUAUCAUAGUUACCGUCAUAUUCUUCACUUAUAAAAGCAGUUUACGACCCGAAGGCCUUCAUCCUGCACGCGGCGUUGCUCCAUCAGGCUUUCGCCCAUUGUGGAAGAUUCCUCACUGCUGCCUCCCGUAGGAGUCCCCCCGUGCCCCCGCCCCGCCCGCCGCGCGCGGCGGGCGGGGGGGGGGCACGGGGGGACUCCUACGGG